RNAcentral lists this unclassified non-coding RNA (309 nucleotides) under plant metagenome. Its description in RNAcentral is "partial contains 5.8S ribosomal RNA, internal transcribed spacer 2, and large subunit ribosomal RNA". The stretch from base 1 to 105 matches the Rfam family "5.8S ribosomal RNA", at positions 50 to 154 of the family's 154-position model. The record is from RNAcentral.
GAAAUGCGAUAAGUAGUGUGAAUUGCAGAAUUCAGUGAAUCAUCGAAUCUUUGAACGCACAUUGCGCCCCUUGGUAUUCCAUGGGGCAUGCCUGUUCGAGCGUCAUUUGUACCCUCAAGCUCUGCUUGGUGUUGGGUGUUUGUCCCGUCUCCGCGCGUGGACUCGCCCCAAAGUGAUUGGCAGCCGGCGUAAUGGUCCCGGAGCGCAGCACAUGUCGCGCAAACGAGUGCCUUGGUACGGCGGCGUCCAUAAGCCCCUCUCUCACGCUCUUGACCUCGGAUCAGGUAGGGAUACCCGCUGAACUUAAGC